This 292-nucleotide ribosomal RNA is filed under the name uncultured bacterium. RNAcentral describes it as "partial 16S ribosomal RNA". It matches the Rfam family "Bacterial small subunit ribosomal RNA", at positions 505 to 796 of the family's 1533-position model. The record is from RNAcentral.
GUGUCAGCAGCCGCGGUAAGACAGAGGGUGCGAACGUUGCUCGGAAUGACUGGGCGUAAAGCGCGUGUAGGCGGCCGCGCACGUCGGGUGUGAAAACCCGGGGCUCAACCCCGGGCGUGCAUUCGAUACGACGCGGCUGGAGGCCUGUAGAGGAGAGCGGAAUUCCCGGUGUAGAGGUGAAAUUCGUAGAUAUCGGGAGGAACACCAGUGGCGCAGGCGGCUCUCUGGACAGGUUCUGACGCUGAGACGCGAAAGCGUGGGUAGCAAACAGGAUUAGAAACCCCUGUAGUCC